GACGAACGCUGGCGGCGUGCUUAACACAUGCAAGUCGAACGGUGAAGCUCCAGCUUGCUGGAGUGGAUCAGUGGCGAACGGGUGAGUAACACGUGAGCAACCUGCCCCUGACUCUGGAAUAAGCGCUGGAAACGGCGUCUAAUACUGGAUACGAGAAGGGUCCGCAUGGGCACUUUCUGGAAAGUUUUUCGGUUGGGGAUGGGCUCGCGGCCUAUCAGCUUGUUGGUGAGGUAAUGGCUCACCAAGGCGACGACGGGUAGCCGGCCUGAGAGGGCGACCGGCCACACUGGGACUGAUACACGGCCCAGACUCCUACGGGAGGCAGCAGUGGGGAAUAUUGCACAAUGGGCGAAAGCCUGAUGCAGCGACGCCGCGUGAGGGAUGACGGCCUUCGGGUUGUAAACCUCUUUCAGCAGGGAAGAAGCGAAAGUGACGGUACCUGCAGAAGAAGCACCGGCUAACUACGUG
RNAcentral lists this ribosomal RNA (468 nucleotides) under uncultured bacterium. Its description in RNAcentral is "partial 16S ribosomal RNA". It matches the Rfam family "Bacterial small subunit ribosomal RNA", at positions 28 to 507 of the family's 1533-position model. The record is from RNAcentral.